AUGGCUCCAGAACUGCUUUUCAUUAUCUUUAAUAUUCUUUUGCUGCGAUCCCGCCGUCUGGUGAGGAACAGACGCGUCCGAAGGACAAUUUUGGCUCUAAGAUCCAGAUAUCAAACUAACGAGCAACCAUCACAGUAUUGUGUGCAGAACAGGCAUGUUCCAUUGCUGGCGAUGUACAUUGAUGGCCAAACUGACCUGAAUCGAAAGCGGGUAAGGACUUCAUCGUGACGCAGGAUGGACGACAUGCAAGUGGCCUUUUGCCCGUUUUGUGGCAAACAUUUGAGCAGAUUGACGCCGAUUUGUGGUUUCUGUGGUCGGUCUUUGGCGUUUUCUGAAGUACGUACAACGUGAAUCAGCUGUACCAUUGGUUAGCGGCUGCUAACUUUCUAACUGAAGAAAAGAAGGACAUUGUGGCAGACUACGUCCGAAGGUAUGUCAUUGACCUCAACUCAUCUGUAAUUGACAGGUAAGUUAAAUUUUCAUUUGUUUUUUGUCGUUCCACCCCACCCCCCAAAAAAUGAAAUUUGCUUGAAAUGUCUCAUGGCAUGUAUAUCUAUGGUGUUACAACUGCUAGCCUAUAUGUCUGUCUCUCCAUUCUCUGCCUUAUGCUAAUGUAUAAAUACUCAAUAUAACGAACAAAUAUAACCUUAUAAACUUAUAAAAUAAUAAACUUAAGAUAAUACAAUUUAGGUAGUUUAAUUGGUUGUUGCCGUUGGCACUACACAGCAGUGAAAGUGUUUGUGUUCACUUUGUAGAUUCAAAGAUGGCCUUUCAGCCCUUCAGUUUCUGACAGCACUACAGCAACACCCUUCUUUGCUGACCCCAGUUCUCUGCCACUCUGAAAAGCGACUAACUGGCUUUGACAUUGAGAGACUUUACACCUGACGUCAGCCCUGCAUUUGCAUUUAGGCUACUGUCCUGAUUAGUUGGAUCUGCAGAGUAUGUACUGGAAGCCAAUAAAUAAAAUUCCUGAACAACAUUUAGGGCUUGUUGUUAUUGAUAUGCUCCGUAAGGUAUCCCAGAGGGGGCUGCUAAAUAAACACCUGAUUAUUAAAUUCAUGUUUCAGCUCCCGUUUUUCUUUUCAGGCAGCCUCUGGGACACCUGGAGUGGUCAGGGCUACUUGCUGCCUGGGUUUGGACACGCCUGGUUCAAAGCCUGACAUAAAAGGCACAACAUCAAAGACUAAAGCUCUACUCCUAAACAUAAAUCCUAAUAUACUUAAACUAUCUACUUGUGUUAGUGAAACAGCAUAACAGAAUAACAUAAGAGAAGCUGCUAAAGUGAUCUACAUUUUAAACAAAA
This 1303-nucleotide long non-coding RNA is filed under the name Takifugu rubripes (torafugu). RNAcentral's name for it is "lncRNA (ENSTRUG00000030783.1)". The record is from RNAcentral. Lineage: Eukaryota; Metazoa; Chordata; Actinopteri; Tetraodontiformes; Tetraodontidae.